UGAACUUGCUAUAAACAACCCCAUCAUUUCUAGACUUUCAAAUUUCAUUAUCUUAAGCACAAAUCAACCUCGACGCUGCUCUGGUCUGGCUCUGAUAUUCUGCUCAGAAUUAACAAGGUUUCCAUCCUUACUGCCUCUGAAAAAUCCACAUCUGCUACAGUCUGCUGUGAAUCAGCUGCAUAACUGUGUUCAGUAAAAAAGCCUACGUGUAGACUCUCCUGCCAGCCCUCAGGAUUGCAUAGAUGGCUGCAAGUUUCACAGUGACAGAUAGACACUUCCUAGAAGACAAUGGGAUGGAAGAAGAAACUCUAGAUUACACUGGGAUGACAGUGAUCCGCUAAUAAAAAUGUAAAGGUCAAAAGGCUUGAUCCUUCUCUGGUGUAAACCAGCAUUAUUUCUGCUAUGACACCUGCCUACCCCUGCUGAGGAUCUUGAUUACCAAGUCUUAGUAUGGAGAACACAGAUCAACAGCUAUGAUAUAAGAAAAACACACACAAUAUUACAUGGAAGAUAUUCAAAUGUAUUUUGUCAAAUCCUGAUGGGGUACUUUCUUGCCAAAUGUUUGGAAUUCAUUUUGGAAUGGACAGAAAGUCAAUCGACCUGGCUUACAUCUGUCUCCAAUUGAAUUGCUGUUGAUUGAUACAUGACAUUGCUACAGAGGGGUGAUUUCCCUAUGCUUACAUUUUGAUGGACUGGAACUCAGAACUUGCCUUGUUAAGGUUUCUGCUGUUGCUUCAAGGUUUUAUUAUUAUUGUUAUUAUUAUUACUGGAAGGGCGCAGUGAACGUAAAUUAGCUGCAGUUGAUUGUAGAUCAUUAUUCCUACUUUCAUUAUAAGUAGAUCUGAUUUGUGCAGGGCUUUUUGUCUUGGCCUUCCUGUCAGUAUGUACACUCUCCAACAGCUUGGAAUUCUCUGGACGGAAUAAAAUUGCUGAUUGUAUCA
This is a long non-coding RNA of Gallus gallus (chicken), 941 nucleotides long. Lineage: Eukaryota; Metazoa; Chordata; Aves; Galliformes; Phasianidae. The record is from Ensembl.